UGAAUUCGCUGAGCGGCGAGAGUGGAGUGGGUGCCUGGGUGGGGGUCAGGGGCGGUAGCCAGGCAGAAGCUGGAGGGAGAAGAUGGAUUAGGAGGCGCCUCUCUUCCCUCCCCGCGUCAAAGAUUAUGAAUGGAGAGCUACAUCCCAUGGGGUGGCAGAUGAAGAUGUGCAAGAAGAAGACACUAACAACUGAAUUGCAGAUUGAGGAGAUGAGAUUAUGGUGACAGAAUCCAUCUUCGGUGUAUGUGCAUGAAGAAAUAAGCCAAAUCUACAUCUAUAAAACCGCGGGAAGGAAUGAGAUAAUAAUCAGUUGCAGGUCUGCUUAGAUUUUAAUCGUUUAGUGUAGUUCGUGGCAGGGUCUGAUACCCUAUUUCAAUAGUGGAGAGAAUUAGAAAGCAUUUUCUUUUUUCAUAUCUACUAUUAUUGGUUAUAUAAAAGAAGUAUCAAAUAGUUUCUGCUUUCAUGGAAUAUACUGUCCAGUCGCAAAGGAAAGAAGAUGGAGAGAUGAUUAAAAAAAAAAAAAAGAACAAACAGCUUCCAUUAUUCUAGCAAUGCCCACACACCCCUAUUGUUUGAGCAG
This 580-nucleotide long non-coding RNA is filed under the name Homo sapiens (human). The record is from RNAcentral. Lineage: Eukaryota; Metazoa; Chordata; Mammalia; Primates; Hominidae.